Dermacentor andersoni is the source of this 1898-nucleotide non-coding RNA. Lineage: Eukaryota; Metazoa; Arthropoda; Arachnida; Ixodida; Ixodidae. The record is from RefSeq and is a predicted model, not a curated record.
GCCCGGCAAGGCUCGGCUAAAUUACAGUACACUGUAGCUAAAUCACUGGUCUUUUCAGCACCAGUUCAAAGGUGGGACAGUUAAAGGAGGCUAUGGUUAGGCGGCACCUUACGCUUCUUAGCAUUCGGCGUGCACAUUGCCAGCGAGCCAGCUUCGAGCUUUGGGCCGACGACUGCGGGUCACACCAAUGAACAAGUCCACUUCCUGUUGCUGCGUUUCCUGGAGAAGAAAGAUGCACAGGGCUUCACAAACGUUCCUGUGGCUGUAACCCAGUUCGGUAGCCCCAAAGGGAAGAGCUAUAGGAAGAGUCAAAUUCAAGCCAAACUUUUGGAAGGGUUCUUUUCCGUUGAAUAAUGAAAUGGCGGCAUGUCAAAAAGAAGUGUUCCGGAGAUUUACUCUCACUACUGAAUAAAGGACACAAGGGCAAUAUAGCCAGACCAGACCUUUGGAGAUAAAAGUUCAGUGGGGGGACUUGGCACCAUAGUCUUGUAAUCACUACUUCAAUUUUUCUAGAGGAGCACCAUUUGUUAUUCCAAGGAAAACUGAGAUGCGGGAAAUCAGAUGUUGCCAAUGAUGAUUGCACGAACUUAUUUGUAGUAGCAUAUUUUCUUAAUUGUGCUGGCAGUGAUGAAAGCUGACGAAGGUAAAUGGAGAUUAUAGGACCAUCGUGGGAUGCUACUGCGAUUGUACCUGCACAUUCGUUUAAUGCUAGGCCUUUGUGACCUGGCACCCACACUAAACGAACAUGACGUAAGUGUCUUGGGUGAAGAGAAUUUGGGUGUGGUUAGUGAAAAACAGACAGAAAGGCCAUCAGUUAAGAUUAUGGCUGAUGACAGAGACGGUGGUAAUUUCCGUAAAGCUGAGACAAUUGCCAAUAAUUCCGCCUGAAAGACAGGUGUGAAGUCAGGUAGCCGAAUCGAAAAAGACCAAUUUAGAUGUGAUGAUACAAUACGCAUCCCUGCCUUUUUUUCACAGACAGAAGCAUCAGUUGCUAUAACGGUCUUUGUGUGCAGGCGUGCAAGGUGCUCUUCCAGAAUACUAUUCAGAUAUUGAUAGGGAAGAUGUUUGGCAUUAUUUUUAAAAAAUCAUCCAAUUUAAUUUUAGCAUCUGGAACCGAAGAAUUUAGUAAGGCCACCUCACAUAGGUGAACGUUUAAUGAGUCCAGUAGUUUUCGAGUGAAAGUAACUUGAGGGCAACGUGAGCGAUUUCAGUGACAGUUAAAAAAUGAGCUUAACAAAAACAUAUUGUGAUCUCUUCUGUGGAGAUGCGUAUAUCUUUAGAAAAGUUUGUACUGAUAGGAUAUGAAAUUGCAUGAGAAGAGAAGGCAGGCGUGCUUCUCGAUAUAUUGUUGGCAACAAAUUUAGGAAGCCGAAGACAAACAUAAUGCCUCUCAUUCUAAUGGAAUCGGAGGCCGAAGAGUCGAGCGAAAAUGAAACCUUUCAACCGCGCGUCCUCGUCAACGGUAAUUUCAAUGAGUUCUUUUUUCUAAAAAUGAAAUGGAACUGGACAAGUAGCAUUUUAUUUCAUUUUAUAAUACAAUAGAAGAAUGUUUUUUGCAACAAGUCGUUGAAUACUAGUGACAGAUUUAACUGAGGAGUGCUUUCGUCAUCGGGCAAGUGCUAUAAUGUCCGGGGGGCUUUUUUUAUAGUUUUAUGUAGAAAUGUUUCUUUGUACACCGAUAUAAAUUUCUGUAGGAAAGAAGUAGGAAGCUAAAGUAUAAUUGGAAACUGGCUGCCAGCUAUGUCUCCUUAUUGAAUUCUGAAAAUUGCUCAAGGUUGCAGGUUAAUGGCUUGUACCACUGUCUGGCUAAGUUAUUGGAAGACUCGAUGGUACUGCAGCAUGUAAGAUAGACAGGAAGGUGAUCACUUAGUGAUCGAUCUAUUGGUGCUUAACCACUU